RNAcentral lists this ribosomal RNA (253 nucleotides) under uncultured bacterium. Its description in RNAcentral is "partial 16S ribosomal RNA". It matches the Rfam family "Bacterial small subunit ribosomal RNA", at positions 524 to 776 of the family's 1533-position model. The record is from RNAcentral.
UACGGAGGGGACUAGCGUUGUUCGGAAUUACUGGGCGUAAAGCGCACGUAGGCGGAUUUGUUAGUCAGGGGUGAAAUCCCGAGGCUCAACCUCGGAACUGCCUUUGAUACUGCAAAUCUCGAGUCCGGAAGAGGUGAGUGGAAUUCCUAGUGUAGAGGUGAAAUUCGUAGAUAUUAGGAAGAACACCAGUGGCGAAGGCGGCUCACUGGCCCGGUACUGACGCUGAGGUGCGAAAGCGUGGGGAGCAAACAGG